CACGAAGUUAGCCGGUGCUUAUUCUUUGGGUACCGUCAUCCCAACCGGGUAUUAGCCAGCUGGAUUUCUUUCCCAACAAAAGGGCUUUACAACCCGAAGGCCUUCUUCACCCACGCGGUAUGGCUGGAUCAGGCUUGCGCCCAUUGUCCAAUAUUCCCCACUGCUGCCUCCCGUAGGAGUCUGGACCGUGUCUCAGUUCCAGUGUGGCUGAUCAUCCUCUCAGACCAGCUACGGAUCGUCGCCUUGGUGGGCCUUUACCCCGCCAACUAGCUAAUCCGACAUCGGCUCAUUCAAUCGCGCAAGGCCCGAAGGUCCCCUGCUUUCACCCGUAGGUCGUAUGCGGUAUUAGCGUAAGUUUCCCUACGUUAUCCCCCACGACAGAGUAGAUUCCGAUGUAUUCCUCACCCGUCCGCCACUCGCCACCCAGAGAGCAAGCUCUCCUGUGCUGCCGUUCGACUUGCAUGUGUUAGGCCUACCGCCAGCGUUCACUCUGAGCCAGGAUCAAACUCU
RNAcentral lists this ribosomal RNA (510 nucleotides) under uncultured Stenotrophomonas sp. RNAcentral describes it as "partial 16S ribosomal RNA". The record is from RNAcentral. Lineage: Bacteria; Pseudomonadati; Pseudomonadota; Gammaproteobacteria; Lysobacterales; Lysobacteraceae.